Molecule: ribosomal RNA, 276 nt
Filed under: uncultured bacterium
Lineage: Bacteria
Description: partial 16S ribosomal RNA
Rfam family: Bacterial small subunit ribosomal RNA
Source: RNAcentral
CUCCCGCCGGCGACCGGCGCACGGGUGAGUAACACGUAUGAAACCUGCCCGCAGCAGGGGGAUAAGCGGAAGAAAUUCCGUCUAAUACCGCGUAACAACCCGAGGAGGCAUCUCCUCGGGUUUAAAGGAAGCGAUUCCGGCUACGGAUGGUCAUGCGUCGCAUUAGCUAGUUGGCGGGGUAACGGCCCACCAAGGCGACGAUGCGUAGGGGUUCUGAGAGGAAGGUCCCCCACACUGGUACUGAGACACGGACCAGACUCCUACGGAAGGCAGCAG